Molecule: ribosomal RNA, 114 nt
Filed under: Pteropus alecto (black flying fox)
Lineage: Eukaryota; Metazoa; Chordata; Mammalia; Chiroptera; Pteropodidae
Source: RNAcentral
GUCUACGGCCACGCUACCCUGAACAAGCCCAAUCCCGUCUUAUCUCGGAAGCUAAGCAGGGUCGUGCCUGGUUAGCACCUGGAGACAACCUAGGAAGACCAGGUGCUGUAGGCA